RNAcentral lists this ribosomal RNA (430 nucleotides) under uncultured Flavobacteriaceae bacterium. Its description in RNAcentral is "bacterial SSU rRNA". It matches the Rfam family "Bacterial small subunit ribosomal RNA", at positions 505 to 939 of the family's 1533-position model. The record is from RNAcentral. Lineage: Bacteria; Pseudomonadati; Bacteroidota; Flavobacteriia; Flavobacteriales; Flavobacteriaceae.
GUGCCAGCAGCCGCGGUAAUACGGAGGAUCCAAGCGUUAUCCGGAAUCAUUGGGUUUAAAGGGUCCGUAGGUGGAAGAUUAAGUCAGAGGUGAAAUCCUGCAGCUCAACUGUAGAAUUGCCUUUGAUACUGGUUUUCUUGAGUUAUUAUGAAGUAGUUAGAAUAUGUAGUGUAGCGGUGAAAUGCAUAGAUAUUACAUAGAAUACCAAUUGCGAAGGCAGAUUACUAAUAAUAUACUGACACUGAUGGACGAAAGCGUGGGGAGCGAACAGGAUUAGAUACCCUGGUAGUCCACGCCGUAAACGAUGGAUACUAGCUGUUCGAUUUCGACUGAGUGGCUAAGCGAAAGUGAUAAGUAUCCCACCUGGGGAGUACGUUCGCAAGAAUGAAACUCAAAGGAAUUGACGGGGGCCCGCACAAGCGGUGGAGCA